RNAcentral lists this long non-coding RNA (1055 nucleotides) under Heterocephalus glaber (naked mole-rat). RNAcentral describes it as "lncRNA (ENSHGLG00000036030.1)". The record is from RNAcentral. Lineage: Eukaryota; Metazoa; Chordata; Mammalia; Rodentia; Bathyergidae.
AUAGAAUCUAACUCUCAUGAUGGUCUGCAGAGGCUGGGAGGCUCAGCAGUGCCCUGCACAGGUCAGAAGUGGUGACUCAGGUAUGUAAGGGACCUGCCAAGUGUCUGCAGAAUCUGGUAUGUCUUCCCACAUCAUGGAGGUUGUGGGUCCUCUCCCUAAAACUGUGCAGAAGACCUGCACAUCACUGUCUGGAGGAUGUGAGGCUUGUUGCAAUAUUGUGUAAUCGACACCUCAACUGCCUGUUGUGCCCACAAUUGAAUCUUCCUCAACUUAUUUGUUAUUAUCUUUCCUUGAGUAAUUUAGGAGAUGCUUCAGUAUUUCAAAAUAUCUGGGGUUUUUUGGUUAUGGUUUUUAUCCUGUUCAUAUAACAGAUAGGAAUGCAUAUUCUGAACACGGAAAACCAUCUACACAGUAGAAGAAAAAGAUCAGCAAUCCAAGGAGGAAGUGCCCACAUUGUGAGUCACCAGCUCCUGGGAGAGAAAGCUAAUGAGCAUGUGGACACGUGCUAACUUGAGGACAGACAACAAAACAAAAUGUUUUAAUGAAAGAAUGUCCCUUGAUAGCUGGCGUAAUAAAUCUUUAGCAGAACCACAGUAACUUUCACCUUUGAGUCAGCAUGGAGACAGACUGCAAGUAUUUGAAUACUCCGAACCUGGGACUAGGAUUUCAAAAACAAGAUAUGGUCUGCCCUCGAGCUGCUCAGUCCCAUGGUGGGACAAUGUGCAAGUAGAGAUCCAUGACAGUGUGACAGUGCUGUCACAGGAGCACAUUUGUGUGCAGAGUAUCUCUGCUGUGGGGUGCGGGAUGCAUGACCAGGAGAUUCAGAGAGCCAGCCCUUGCCUGGGGCGAGGGAGGCUGAGGGCUUGGUGAGGGACCUGGGGUGGGCUGGACUGGCUGUCCCUACCAGUGGCCUUGGCCAGGUGGAGGGGAGUGUGCAGAGGUGGGAGAUGACCUCUGGGAGACGUGGCCCACUGUAGUGGGAGAGGACACGGAGACUGCAGAUGCCUUGCUAUAGCCUGUGCUGGAAGCUGUGAGUGAUGCUAAGAAGGAGCGGA